GAUCUGAAUACUCAACAACAAGCUCUACAAGCCCACAAUUUACCUACUCAUAUCCAUUUAAUCCCUUAUCAGGGCUAACCCAUUGGGGGCACUCUGCAGGCACCGGCUCCCCUGAUCCUCGGAGGGUGUCCACUGUGCGGCUCCUUGCAACCCCCCUGGGGUCUGUUUUGGUUUCCCUCUCUCCCCCAUGGGGUUGUGGGUGGCGCUCCCUUCGGAUUUUCUAACGGCUCUGCACAUCUCUGGUCAUUACAAAACCCACUUCAUUCGUUAACGAAUCAACCAUCCCCCUGAAGAGACCACUUAGAGGUCGAAAUGCGUCGGGGAACGCACAUCACACAGCAUAAAGCAAUGUUGUAUACAUUUGUCCAAUAUUGUGGAAUAUGUAUUGUAUCACCAGAUCCGUAAAGGGUUUUCUUUUAAUUGUUAUUGCAUUUAAAAUGUAUGUUAUU
Molecule: long non-coding RNA, 449 nt
Organism: Rana temporaria (common frog)
Lineage: Eukaryota; Metazoa; Chordata; Amphibia; Anura; Ranidae
Exons: 3
Source: RefSeq, a predicted model, not a curated record